UACGUAGGGUGCAGGCGUUAAUCGGAAUUACUGGGCGUAAAGCGUGCGCAGGCGGUGUUGUAAGACAGAUGUGAAAGCCCCGGGCUUAGCCUGGGAAUGGCAUUUGGGACUGCAAGGCUGGAGUUUGGCAGAGGAGACUGGAAUUCCUGGUGUAGCAGUGAAAUGCGUAGAUAUCAGGAGGAAUACCGAUGGCGAAGGCAGGUCUCUGGGCUAUAACUGACGCUCAUGCACGAAAGCGUGGGGAGCAAACAGG
This 253-nucleotide ribosomal RNA is filed under the name uncultured bacterium. Its description in RNAcentral is "partial 16S ribosomal RNA". It matches the Rfam family "Bacterial small subunit ribosomal RNA", at positions 524 to 776 of the family's 1533-position model. The record is from RNAcentral.